This is a non-coding RNA of Vicugna pacos (alpaca), 158 nucleotides long. The record is from RefSeq and is a predicted model, not a curated record. Lineage: Eukaryota; Metazoa; Chordata; Mammalia; Artiodactyla; Camelidae.
CUCACUAGAUUUUCCAUGGUGAUCAUUUUGUAACACAUAGAAAUAUCAAACCACUAUGUUGUGCACCAGGAACCAACAUAGUGUUGCAGGUCCAUUAUCCUUCAAAAAACAAACAAACCCACAGGAAAAGAGAUCAGACCUGUGGUUACCAAAGUGGG